Molecule: non-coding RNA, 45 nt
Organism: Schistosoma haematobium
Lineage: Eukaryota; Metazoa; Platyhelminthes; Trematoda; Strigeidida; Schistosomatidae
Source: Rfam
AUUCAGCUGACGAGUCCCAAAUAAGAUGAAACGCUUGUCUUAGAU